CUGUGGUGGAUUCUGCUUGAAUGGAAUAGGGAAUUGCAAUUGUUUCCCUUGAACGAGGAAUUCCCAGUAAGCGUGAGUCAUUAGCUCGCGUUGAUUACGUCCCUGCCCUUUGUACACACCGCCCGUCGCUACUACCGAUUGGAUGAUUUAGUGAGGUGUUUUGACUGGCGCCAGUAGUCGGAUAUGUAUUCGGCUUCGCGCCGGGAAAUUUCCCAAACCAAAUCAUCUAGAGGAAGUAAAAGUCGUAACAAGGUUUCCGUAGGUGAACCUGCGGAAGGAUCAUUA
Molecule: non-coding RNA, 285 nt
Organism: Trichinella spiralis
Lineage: Eukaryota; Metazoa; Nematoda; Enoplea; Trichinellida; Trichinellidae
Source: Rfam